AGCAGCUCCAGAGUUUGAUCAUGGCUCAGGACGAACGCUGGCGGCGUGCCUAAUACAUGCAAGUCGAGCGGACAGAUGGGAGCUUGCUCCCUGAUGUUAGCGGCGGACGGGUGAGUAACACGUGGGUAACCUGCCUGUAAGACUGGGAUAAGUGGCGGGAAACCGGGGCUAAUACCGGAUGGUUGUUUGAACCGCAUGGUUCAAACAUAAAAGGUGGCUUCGGCUACCACUUACAGAUGGACCCGCGGCGCAUUAGCUAGUUGGUGAGUAACGGCUCACCAAGGCAACGAUGCGUAGCCGACCUGAGAGGGUGAUCGCCACACUGA
Molecule: ribosomal RNA, 326 nt
Filed under: Bacillus sp. KBBrown
Lineage: Bacteria; Bacillati; Bacillota; Bacilli; Caryophanales; Bacillaceae
Description: bacterial SSU rRNA
Rfam family: Bacterial small subunit ribosomal RNA
Source: RNAcentral